GAUGAACGCUGGCGGUGUGCCUAAUACAUGCAAGUCGAGCGAACAGACGAGGAGCUUACUCCUCUGACGUUAGCGGCGGACGGGUGAGUAACACGUGGAUAACCUACCUAUAAGACUGGGAUAACUUCGGGAAACCGGGGCUAAUACCGGAUAACAUGUUGAACCGCAUGGUUCAACAGUGAAAGACGGUCUUGCUGUCACUUAUAGAUGGAUCCGCGUCGCAUUAGCUAGUUGGUAAGGUAACGGCUUACCAAGGCAACGAUGCGUAGCCGACCUGAGAGGGUGAUCGGCCACACUGGAACUGAGACACGGUCCAGACUCCUACGGGAGGCAGCAGUAGGGAAUCUUCCGCAAUGGGCGAAAGCCUGACGGAGCAACGCCGCGUGAGUGAUGAAGGUCUUCGGAUCGAAAAACUCUGUUAUUAGGGAAGAACAAAUGUGUAAGUAACUAUGCACGUCUUGACGGUACCUAAUCAGAAAGCCACGGCUAACUACGUG
This 497-nucleotide ribosomal RNA is filed under the name uncultured bacterium. RNAcentral's name for it is "partial 16S ribosomal RNA". It matches the Rfam family "Bacterial small subunit ribosomal RNA", at positions 28 to 507 of the family's 1533-position model. The record is from RNAcentral.